This 1370-nucleotide ribosomal RNA is filed under the name uncultured bacterium. RNAcentral describes it as "16S ribosomal RNA". It matches the Rfam family "Bacterial small subunit ribosomal RNA", at positions 30 to 1381 of the family's 1533-position model. The record is from RNAcentral.
UGAACGCUGGCGGCGUGCCUAAUACAUGCAAGUCGAGCGAACGGACGAGAAGCUUGCUUUUCUGAUGUUAGCGGCGGACGGGUGAGUAACACGUGGAUAACCUACCUAUAAGACUGGGAUAACUUCGGGAAACCGGAGCUAAUACCGGAUAAUAUUUUGAACCGCAUGGUUCAAAAGUGAAAGACGGUCUUGCUGUCACUUAUAGAUGGAUCCGCGCUGCAUUAGCUAGUUGGUAAGGUAACGGCUUACCAAGGCAACGAUGCAUAGCCGACCUGAGAGGGUGAUCGGCCACACUGGAACUGAGACACGGUCCAGACUCCUACGGGAGGCAGCAGUAGGGAAUCUUCCGCAAUGGGCGAAAGCCUGACGGAGCAACGCCGCGUGAGUGAUGAAGGUCUUCGGAUCGUAAAACUCUGUUAUUAGGGAAGAACAUAUGUGUAAGUAACUGUGCACAUCUUGACGGUACCUAAUCAGAAAGCCACGGCUAACUACGUGCCAGUAGCCGCGGUAAUACGUAGGUGGCAAGCGUUAUCCGGAAUUAUUGGGCGUAAAGCGCGCGUAGGCGGUUUUUUAAGUCUGAUGUGAAAGCCCACGGCUCAACCGUGGAGGGUCAUUGGAAACUGGAAAACUUGAGUGCAGAAGAGGAAAGUGGAAUUCCAUGUGUAGCGGUGAAAUGCGCAGAGAUAUGGAGGAACACCAGUGGCGAAGGCGACUUUCUGGUCUGUAACUGACGCUGAUGUGCGAAAGCGUGGGGAUCAAACAGGAUUAGAUACCCUGGUAGUCCACGCCGUAAACGAUGAGUGCUAAGUGUUAGGGGGUUUCCGCCCCUUAGUGCUGCAGCUAACGCAUUAAGCACUCCGCCUGGGGAGUACGACCGCAAGGUUGAAACUCAAAGGAAUUGACGGGGACCCGCACAAGCGGUGGAGCAUGUGGUUUAAUUCGAAGCAACGCGAAGAACCUUACCAAAUCUUGACAUCCUUUGACAACUCUAGAGAUAGAGCCUUCCCCUUCGGGGGACAAAGUGACAGGUGGUGCAUGGUUGUCGUCAGCUCGUGUCGUGAGAUGUUGGGUUAAGUCCCGCAACGAGCGCAACCCUUAAGCUUAGUUGCCAUCAUUAAGUUGGGCACUCUAAGUUGACUGCCGGUGACAAACCGGAGGAAGGUGGGGAUGACGUCAAAUCAUCAUGCCCCUUAUGAUUUGGGCUACACACGUGCUACAAUGGACAAUACAAAGGGCAGCGAAACCGCGAGGUCAAGCAAAUCCCAUAAAGUUGUUCUCAGUUCGGAUUGUAGUCUGCAACUCGACUACAUGAAGCUGGAAUCGCUAGUAAUCGUAGAUCAGCAUGCUACGGUGAAUACGUUCCCGGGUCU